UGCGUAGGCGGUUUUGCAAGUCAGAAGUGAAAGACUACGGCUCAACCGUGGUAAGCUUUUGAAACUGCAAGACUAGAGUGCAGGAGAGGCAAGUGGAAUUCCUAGCGUAGAGGUGAAAUUCGUAGAUAUUAGGAGGAACACCAGUGGCGAAGGCGACUUGCUGGACUGUAACUGACGCUGAGGCACGAAAGCGUGGGGAGCGAACA
This 206-nucleotide ribosomal RNA is filed under the name uncultured bacterium. Its description in RNAcentral is "partial 16S ribosomal RNA". It matches the Rfam family "Bacterial small subunit ribosomal RNA", at positions 568 to 774 of the family's 1533-position model. The record is from RNAcentral.